This 422-nucleotide ribosomal RNA is filed under the name uncultured bacterium. RNAcentral describes it as "bacterial SSU rRNA". It matches the Rfam family "Bacterial small subunit ribosomal RNA", at positions 362 to 776 of the family's 1533-position model. The record is from RNAcentral.
UAUUGCUCAAUGGGCGCAAGCCUGAUGCAGCCAUGCCGCGUGUAUGAAGAAGGCCUUCGGGUUGUAAAGUACUUUCAGCGGGGAGGAAGGGAGUGAGGUUAAUAACCUCAUUCAUUGACGUUACCCGCAGAAGAAGCACCGGCUAACUCCGUGCCAGCAGCCGCGGUAAUACGGAGGGUGCAAGCGUUAAUCGGAAUUACUGGGCGUAAAGCGCACGCAGGCGGUCUGUCGAGUCGGAUGUGAAAUCCCCGGGCUCAACCUGGGAACUGCAUUCGAAACUGGCAGGCUGGAGUCUUGUAGAGGGGGGUAGAAGUCCAGGUGUAGCGGUGAGAUGCGUAGAGAACUGGAGGAAUACCGGUGGCGAAGGCGGCCCCCUGGACAAAGACUGACGCUCAGGUGCGAAAGCGUGGGGAGCAAACAGG